Erinaceus europaeus (western European hedgehog) is the source of this 341-nucleotide unclassified non-coding RNA. Its record names the gene 7SK. It matches the Rfam family "7SK RNA". From Rfam's summary of the family: 7SK was discovered as an abundant small nuclear RNA in the mid-70s but a possible function has only recently been suggested. Lineage: Eukaryota; Metazoa; Chordata; Mammalia; Eulipotyphla; Erinaceidae. The record is from Ensembl.
GGAUGUGUGGGCCAUCCUGGCUGCGACACUCGUCCACUGCAUUGAUCACCAGGGUGAUUCAGCUGAUCUGGCUGGCUAGGCAGGUGUCCCCUUCUUCCCUCACCGCUCUAUGUGUGUCCCUCCCAAAACUGCACACUUGGUUGUAGAGGACUACCUUCCCUGAAUAGAGACAGAUUGGUCUGGUCUUGGGUCUGCGGAGGAUAUAAAGUAUCUGAACUCUACUGCAAGAACCUCCAAACAAGCUCUCAAAGACCCCAAGCCUGGAUCAUGCACAAGGCAAAGCAGACAACUCUCCAAUAGAGUUAUUUUGCUGUUCUCAUUUGGAGUUCUUUUGCGCAAAU